GUAACGCGUGAGAACCUGCCUCGAGGAGGGGGAUAACAGCGGGAAACUGCUGCUAAUACCCCAUAUGCCGAAAGGUGAAAAGAAAUUCGCCUUGAGAGGGGCUCGCGUCCGAUUAGCUAGUUGGUGAGGUAAGAGCUUACCAAGGCGACGAUCGGUAGCUGGUCUGAGAGGAUGAGCAGCCACACUGGGACUGAGACACGGCCCAGACUCCUACGGGAGGCAGCAGUGGGGAAUUUUCCGCAAUGGGCGAAAGCCUGACGGAGCAACGCCGCGUGGGGGAAGAAGGCCUUUGGGUUGUAAACUCCUUUUCUCAGGGAAGAAGAACUGACGGUACCUGAGGAAUCAGCCUCGGCUAACUCCGUGCCAGCAGCCGCGGUAAUACGGAGGAGGCAAGCGUUAUCCGGAAUUAUUGGGCGUAAAGCGUUCGUAGGCGGCAUUUCAAGUCUGCUGUCAAAGGCCGAGGCUCAACUUCGGAAAGGCAGUGGAAACUGAAAAGCUAGAGGUCGGUAGGGGCAGAGGGAAUUCCCAGUGUAGCGGUGAAAUGCGUAGAUAUUGGGAAGAACACCGGUGGCGAAAGCGCUCUGCUGGGCCGAACCUGACGCUGAG
This 606-nucleotide ribosomal RNA is filed under the name Geitlerinema sp. SQP1Ab. Its description in RNAcentral is "bacterial SSU rRNA". It matches the Rfam family "Bacterial small subunit ribosomal RNA", at positions 110 to 750 of the family's 1533-position model. The record is from RNAcentral. Lineage: Bacteria; Bacillati; Cyanobacteriota; Cyanophyceae; Geitlerinematales; Geitlerinemataceae.